AGAGUUUGAUCAUGGCUCAGAACGAACGCUGGCGGCAGGCCUAACACAUGCAAGUCGAACGAAGUCUUCGGACUUAGUGGCGGACGGGUGAGUAACGCGUGGGAACCUAUCCUGUAGUGCGGAAUAACAGAGGGAAACUUCUGCUAAUACCGCAUACGCCCGACAGGGGAAAGAAUUUCGCUUCAGGAGGGGCCCGCGAAGGAUUAGCUUGUUGGUGGGGUAACGGCCUACCAAGGCAACGAUCCUUAGCUGGUCUGAGAGGAUGAUCAGCCACACUGGGACUGAGACACGGCCCAGACUCCUACGGGAGGCAGCAGUGGGGAAUAUUGGACAAUGGGGGCAACCCUGAUCCAGCCAUGCCGCGUGAAUGAAGAAGGCCCUAGGGUUGUAAAGUUCUUUCACUCGUGAGGAUGAUGACAGUAGCGAGAGAAGAAGCCCCGGCUAACUCCGUGCCAGCAGCCGCGGUAAUACGGAGGGGGCAAGCGUUGUUCGGAUUUACUGGGCGUAAAGGGCGCGUAGGCGGCUGAUCAAGUUGGGGGUGAAAGGCCCGGGCUCAACCCGGGAACUGCCUCCGAACUGAUCGGCUCGAGACCGGGAGAGGCAAGC
RNAcentral lists this ribosomal RNA (606 nucleotides) under uncultured Alphaproteobacteria bacterium. RNAcentral describes it as "bacterial SSU rRNA". It matches the Rfam family "Bacterial small subunit ribosomal RNA", at positions 8 to 662 of the family's 1533-position model. Lineage: Bacteria; Pseudomonadati; Pseudomonadota; Alphaproteobacteria. The record is from RNAcentral.